UUAAGCGACUAAGCGUACACGGUGGAUGCCCUGGCAGUCAGAGGCGAUGAAGGACGUGCUAAUCUGCGAUAAGCGUCGGUGAGGUGAUAUGAACCGUUAUAACCGGCGAUUUCCGAAUGGGGAAACCCAGUGUGUUUCGACACACUAUCAUUAACUGAAUCCAUAGGUUAAUGAGGCGAACCGGGGGAACUGAAACAUCUAAGUACCCCGAGGAAAAGAAAUCAACCGAGAUUCCCCCAGUAGCGGCGAGCGAACGGGGAGGAGCCCAGAGCCUGAAUCAGUGUGUGUGUUAGUGGAAGCGUCUGGAAAGGCGUGCGAUACAGGGUGACAGCCCCGUACACAAAAAUGCACAUACUGUGAGCUCGAUGAGUAGGGCGGGACACGUGGUAUCCUGUCUGAAUAUGGGGGGACCAUCCUCCAAGGCUAAAUACUCCUGACUGACCGAUAGUGAACCAGUACCGUGAGGGAAAGGCGAAAAGAACCCCGGCGAGGGGAGUGAAAAAGAACCUGAAACCGUGUACGUACAAGCAGUGGGAGCCUCUUAAUGGGGUGACUGCGUACCUUUUGUAUAAUGGGUCAGCGACUUAUAUUCUGUAGCAAGGUUAACCGAAUAGGGGAGCCGAAGGGAAACCGAGUCUUAACUGGGCGUUAAGUUGCAGGGUAUAGACCCGAAACCCGGUGAUCUAGCCAUGGGCAGGUUGAAGGUUGGGUAACACUAACUGGAGGACCGAACCGACUAAUGUUGAAAAAUUAGCGGAUGACUUGUGGCUGGGGGUGAAAGGCCAAUCAAACCGGGAGAUAGCUGGUUCUCCCCGAAAGCUAUUUAGGUAGCGCCUCGUGAAUUCAUCUCCGGGGGUAGAGCACUGUUUCGGCAAGGGGGUCAUCCCGACUUACCAACCCGAUGCAAACUGCGAAUACCGGAGAAUGUUAUCACGGGAGACACACGGCGGGUGCUAACGUCCGUCGUGAAGAGGGAAACAACCCAGACCGCCAGCUAAGGUCCCAAAGUCAUGGUUAAGUGGGAAACGAUGUGGGAAGGCCCAGACAGCCAGGAUGUUGGCUUAGAAGCAGCCAUCAUUUAAAGAAAGCGUAAUAGCUCACUGGUCGAGUCGGCCUGCGCGGAAGAUGUAACGGGGCUAAACCAUGCACCGAAGCUGCGGCAGCGACACUAUGUGUUGUUGGGUAGGGGAGCGUUCUGUAAGCCUGUGAAGGUGGCCUGUGAGGGUUGCUGGAGGUAUCAGAAGUGCGAAUGCUGACAUAAGUAACGAUAAAGCGGGUGAAAAGCCCGCUCGCCGGAAGACCAAGGGUUCCUGUCCAACGUUAAUCGGGGCAGGGUGAGUCGACCCCUAAGGCGAGGCCGAAAGGCGUAGUCGAUGGGAAACAGGUUAAUAUUCCUGUACUUGGUGUUACUGCGAAGGGGGGACGGAGAAGGCUAUGUUGGCCGGGCGACGGUUGUCCCGGUUUAAGCGUGUAGGCUGGUUUUCCAGGCAAAUCCGGAAAACCAAGGCUGAGGCGUGAUGACGAAGCACUACGGUGCUGAAGCGACAAAUGCCCUGCUUCCAGGAAAAGCCUCUAAGCAUCAGGUAACAUCAAAUCGUACCCCAAACCGACACAGGUGGUCAGGUAGAGAAUACCAAGGCGCUUGAGAGAACUCGGGUGAAGGAACUAGGCAAAAUGGUGCCGUAACUUCGGGAGAAGGCACGCUGAUAUGUAGGUGAAGCGACUUGCUCGUGGAGCUGAAAUCAGUCGAAGAUACCAGCUGGCUGCAACUGUUUAUUAAAAACACAGCACUGUGCAAACACGAAAGUGGACGUAUACGGUGUGACGCCUGCCCGGUGCCGGAAGGUUAAUUGAUGGGGUUAGCGGUAACGCGAAGCUCUUGAUCGAAGCCCCGGUAAACGGCGGCCGUAACUAUAACGGUCCUAAGGUAGCGAAAUUCCUUGUCGGGUAAGUUCCGACCUGCACGAAUGGCGUAAUGAUGGCCAGGCUGUCUCCACCCGAGACUCAGUGAAAUUGAACUCGCUGUGAAGAUGCAGUGUACCCGCGGCAAGACGGAAAGACCCCGUGAACCUUUACUAUAGCUUGACACUGAACAUUGAGCCUUGAUGUGUAGGAUAGGUGGGAGGCUUUGAAGUGUGGACGCCAGUCUGCAUGGAGCCGACCUUGAAAUACCACCCUUUAAUGUUUGAUGUUCUAACGUUGGCCCGUAAUCCGGGUUGCGGACAGUGUCUGGUGGGUAGUUUGACUGGGGCGGUCUCCUCCUAAAGAGUAACGGAGGAGCACGAAGGUUGGCUAAUCCUGGUCGGACAUCAGGAGGUUAGUGCAAUGGCAUAAGCCAGCUUGACUGCGAGCGUGACGGCGCGAGCAGGUGCGAAAGCAGGUCAUAGUGAUCCGGUGGUUCUGAAUGGAAGGGCCAUCGCUCAACGGAUAAAAGGUACUCCGGGGAUAACAGGCUGAUACCGCCCAAGAGUUCAUAUCGACGGCGGUGUUUGGCACCUCGAUGUCGGCUCAUCACAUCCUGGGGCUGAAGUAGGUCCCAAGGGUAUGGCUGUUCGCCAUUUAAAGUGGUACGCGAGCUGGGUUUAGAACGUCGUGAGACAGUUCGGUCCCUAUCUUCCGUGGGCGCUGGAGAACUGAGGGGGGCUGCUCCUAGUACGAGAGGACCGGAGUGGACGCAUCACUGGUGUUCGGGUUGUCAUGCCAAUGGCACUGCCCGGUAGCUAAAUGCGGAAGAGAUAAGUGCUGAAAGCAUCUAAGCACGAAACUUGCCCCGAGAUGAGUUCUCCCUGAGACUUAGAGUCUCCUGAAGGAACGUUGAAGACGACGACGUUGAUAGGCCGGGUGUGUAAGCGCAGCGAUGCGUUGAGCUAACCGGUACUAAUGAACCGUGAGGCUUAACCUU
RNAcentral lists this ribosomal RNA (2902 nucleotides) under Escherichia coli KTE185. RNAcentral describes it as "bacterial LSU rRNA". It matches the Rfam family "Bacterial large subunit ribosomal RNA". The record is from RNAcentral. Lineage: Bacteria; Pseudomonadati; Pseudomonadota; Gammaproteobacteria; Enterobacterales; Enterobacteriaceae.